AUUGAACGCUGGCGGCAGGCCUAACACAUGCAAGUCGAACGGUAGUACAGAGAGCUUGCUCUCGGGUGACGAGUGGCGGACGGGUGAGUAACGUCUGGGAAACUGCCCGAUGGAGGGGGAUAACUACUGGAAACGGUAGCUAAUACCGCAUAACGUCGCAAGACCAAAGUGGGGGACCUUCGGGCCUCACACCAUCGGAUGUGCCCAGAUGGGAUUAGCUAGUAGGUGGGGUAAUGGCUCACCUAGGCGACGAUCCCUAGCUGGUCUGAGAGGAUGACCAGCCACACUGGAACUGAGACACGGUCCAGACCCCUACGGGAGGCAGCAGUGGGGAAUAUUGCACAAUGGGCGCAAGCCUGAUGCAGCCAUGCCGCGUGUAUGAAGAAGGCCUUCGGGUUGUAAAGUACUUUCAGCGGGGAGGAAGGCGGUGAAGUUAAUAGCUUCACCGAUUGACGUUACCCGCAGAAGAAGCACCGGCUAACUCCGUGCCAGCAGCAGCCGCGG
This 504-nucleotide ribosomal RNA is filed under the name uncultured bacterium. RNAcentral's name for it is "partial 16S ribosomal RNA". It matches the Rfam family "Bacterial small subunit ribosomal RNA", at positions 29 to 523 of the family's 1533-position model. The record is from RNAcentral.